UGCCGCGUGUGUGAAGAAGGCCUUUUGGUUGUAAACUGCUUUAGCGGGGACGAGGCUACCCUGAUUAAUACCUGGGGACCAUGACCGUACCUCACAAAAUAAGCCCCGGUUACUUCUGGGCCAGCAGCCGCGGAAAUACAAAGGGGGCGAGCGUUAAUCGAAUUUACUGGGCGUAAAGCGGGCGUAGGGGGUUUAUUAAAUCAAUGGUGAAAUCCCCGAGCUUACCUGGGAAAUUGCAUUGGAUACUGGGAAGCUAAAGUAUGGGAGAGGAUGUGGAAAUUCCAGGGGUAGCGGUGAAAUGCGUAAAGAUCUGAAGGAAUACCGAUGGCGAAGGCUCCAUCUGGCCUAAUACUGACUUGAGGCACGAAAGCAUGGGAAGCAAACAGGAUUAUAUACCCUGGUAGUCCAUGCCGUAAACGAUGUCUACUAGCCGUUGGGUUCUUUGACUCUUUAACGACGCUACUAACGCAAUAAGAACACCGCCUGGGGACUACGGCCGCGAUACUAAUCCUCAAAUGAAUUGACGGCCCCCCCCACAAGCGGAGGAUGAUGUGGUUUAAUUCGAUGCACCGCAAACAUCCUUACCUGUUCUCGACAUACUAAACACUUUCAAAAGAUGGAGUGGUGCCUUCAGAAAUCU
Molecule: ribosomal RNA, 640 nt
Filed under: Acinetobacter baumannii
Lineage: Bacteria; Pseudomonadati; Pseudomonadota; Gammaproteobacteria; Moraxellales; Moraxellaceae
Description: bacterial SSU rRNA
Rfam family: Bacterial small subunit ribosomal RNA
Source: RNAcentral